CAGAGAGAGGAGAGAGAAAGAGAGAAAGAGAGAGAGUGAGUGAACUGAGUCUGGGUCAGCUUGGACUGUCAUAUCAGACAUUCAGAGAGAGAGAGAGAGAGAGAGAAAAAGAGAGAGAGAGCGAGCACAGCAGGAGAGGGGAGGUAUGUCAGAGGAUGUGGUUUCUCUUAGCUUGCAGAACAUUGCACAUACUUUGAGCAUGACCUAAACAGCAGCACGCGAAGUGUGUUUUCUGCGCUCCGUCUGCCGCAGGACCCAUCCGCUUGGCUCCUGGAGCUUGGAUCUUCUGUUUGUUAUUGUGCUGCCACAUCAAAAGGGAAUAGAGCAAGGAGAUUUGUAUCCCGGUCAUCCCUCUUGCGGUUCACGCGCUGGUUAGUGGAGUCACACGGCAGCUUGACUUCAGAUCAGUGACUUAAACUUGCAGCGCCUGCGUAUCGAAACCUUCACAACAGGCUUCAGUGUGCACUCGUUCAGCAGAAAUGGGCUGCGGGUUGAGGAAGUUCCGUCAGACGGAAGACAACAGUCCGGGAAAAAUCUACUCCACCCUAAAAAGGCCACAGGUGGAGACCAAGACUGGGGUCGCCUACACCUAUCAACACUUAGACUUCCUGGUGGGGAAAGACGAUGGGACGUCCACGCUGUGUCUAUCUUCAGUGAGAGAGCUGCCGUCUCAGCUGCAGGAUCUCUACCAGCGGGGCUUCAUCCUGACAGCUGUGCAUCCUUUCGUCCAUUCGUGUGGUCCGGAGCACGCCAGCGUCCAGCGUCGACUCUAUCGUGCUGUGCUCAUCAAAGUCUCUGACAGUUGGGAGACGAAUCCAGACUUUGAGCCUUUCCAUCUAAAACUGGAGGAGUGCAUGUCUGCAGAGCAGAUCCCCACCUCAGAACACAUUCAGGGCUAUGUGAAAAAACAGAUCCAGGAUGCAGCAGAUCAGGGCAUCAUGUUUGCAGGCUUCAUCCAGGAGCCAGCUGGCCUACGCCCACACGUGCUACGGCACGGAGAACCAGAGGAACCCUCCCUCUCCCUGCACUCCAGCCCUAGCUCGUUGCACGGCUCUGGGCUGACACCCAGCCCGAGCCCCCUGGAGGAGCCGGAGCUGGGAGACGAGCCCGGAGCGGAGAAUCAAUCGAACGAGGCUCAGAUAGACGACGUUAGAUCUUCCGCGGGAGAAGAUGGAGAUGAUCUCUCCAAUGAGACAUCAGGCAUGAAAUCUGGAUCUGGUGAAACACAGCCGACAGAUAAACUCACGCACAACAACAACGACACGGCCAAAAUCACAGACGCAUCAGAGAGACCCAGCAGAUUGCUCCUGGCUAAAAGAGGAGCUGAGCUCUUUGGAUUGUUUAAUUAUCCUGGUCGCCGUGAGGGUCAGUUUAAGUACUACACUGUUAAAGUUCCUCUCUGGGUCCAGCCGCUCGGUGACGGUAUUUGCACUUUAGAGGCAAACUGGCUUGACCACAUGACCCAACAUUUCAACAGCGGGGCUUUACUUGUGGAUGGAUACUUUCAACUUACCAAUGACAAUGCAGAUCAACUCAGCAGGAGGACGGUGGACAGCGUGUUCGUGUUUCAGGAGGGCGUGGAGGGCGACAUAAACGCAACCACCGGGUACGACGCUAUUGUGGUGGAACAGUGGACGGUCAUUGAUGGUUUACAGGUGAAGACUGACUAUAUUCCACUGUUGCAGUCACUGGCCUCAUUCGGAUGGAGACUCACUUGCGUGCUGCCUACACCUAUUAUUAGGACAAACAGUGAUGGAAGUUUGGCUACCAAACAGAUUGUUUUCCUCCAAAGGCCAAUGCUGUCCCGCAAGAAGAAAGAAUCUAAGAAAGUCAUCUUUAAAGCCCGAAACAAGUGCAACAAGAACUCCGUCAAAGACGCACCAAAGAACAAGAAGAAGAAAGAGAUCACGGCCACCGUCGACAAGGAGCUCUGUGAUCAAAAGAUCAGUGACGGAUCUGAGAAGAUCACAGAGGAGAGAAACUCAAGUGUGAAUGAACGACAGAAAGACCAAAAUAAUGAGGUUGAAGUGGCGUGCGGAGAGGAAAAGACGCAGGAAGUGCAUGAGACGGCAACGGGAAGUGAGGUGCAUGGAGUGUGCAAGGAAAAACAGGAAGUAGGAAAUGCCAUUGAGGAAAAUAAGGACGAAGUAGAGGCGGAGAUGAGCCACGACAUCUCACCUGUUGUAGACCAUCCGACAACAGGAGAAAUGGGACAGCGGGGCGAUCAGGAAGACACCACAGCCGAUCAGAACCACGGCAGCGUGCAAGAAGAUGAAUCGUCACCGGCACAUGAUGACGUUUCAGCCAAUCAGGAUUGAAAAUACUUCUUCAUUUGGAGCUUUAUGAAUGUACAAAAUGCUGUACUGCAAAAAAUAACAUUUUGGUCUCGUUUCCCAGUAAGCAUCUUUAAAGCUAGAUCUGUUUACAAGAUAUACAGCACAAGAUUUACCACCUAAGAUGAAUCGCUUUGUUGUUUUCCUCACUUUGUAUAAAGCGGCAUCUAAAUUAUAAAUUACAUAAUAAUAUUAACACUUCUACCUAGUUUAGUUCAGACAUCUUUACCUAAAACAAGGCUAAUAACGUGAUUUUUUGCAGUAUAGCUUUACAGUACCAGACAGUAGCUGUCAGACAGACACCUCACCUGACAUUGUGACCUCUUCUAACCAAUGCUGAACAUGUCAGCUCGCCGCUGGAGGGGAGAGAGAUUUCAUCCCUUCUUCAAAUGAACCGAGAGGACUCCUAUAACCAGAAAAAGGAGAUGAAAUGGGACGAGAUUGUUAUCAGUAAAUGCACUGGAUAAGAAAAACCACAUUAAUAUUUACACUGUGACCGGCUCAAAGACUUCAUUUCUACUGAAGACAGCAGGCGCACGUGGUGGUGGAGAUGGUUACUGUUGCGAGAAGCAAUCGAUUGUGAUAUUCAUACAAUAGGUAUGAGAUCGGUGAGUUCUUGGGCCUGCGUGGUCAGCCGGUGUGUUGGUACGGAUGACAGAUGAGCUAUUAAGGAAAAACAAGAAUGUAAAAGAGAGAGACAGGAUCUACCACUCCAUCAAUGAAAUGAUGCCAGGCAAUAUUUACUGUCCUCUUCAGAGCGAACGCUGCGGUCGGCCCAAGUCUCCUGUAGUUUCUCUUAGCAUAUAUGAAGAAAAAUAACAUCUGCGAGUAUCCUGCACAGGCAGGGGAGAUCAUUCAUUGUAUCUAAUAAUAAUGCACAUGUACAGGCGUGCACCACAGUCUAUUUCAUUUCUGUUCUCAUGCUUUGCAGAAGUCAUUAAAAACUGCAUCUCUCGCCUCAAACGCGUGCUUGUGUAUCUGAGAAAAAAAAAACAUUCACCAUCUCUGCCUCCAGAUUUGCAGGUUGCUUUGAUUGUUGUCAAUACUGAUCAAUGUUUUCAUGAUAAUGUCAUCUGUACAAUUUGUAUAUUAUAAUAAAUAUGAUUUAUAUUU
Misgurnus anguillicaudatus (oriental weatherfish) is the source of this 3446-nucleotide RNA transcript. It is a transcript of the gene named raftlin, lipid raft linker 1b, with no coding region annotated. NCBI's taxonomy places the organism in Eukaryota, Metazoa, Chordata, Actinopteri, Cypriniformes, Cobitidae. The record is from RefSeq and is a predicted model, not a curated record.